GUUUGAAAUAGGGGGUUGCUAGUCUUGAAGUUAAAGCUAGGUCAAUCCCAAAGCAGAGUCGAAUUCAAGAUUUGAACUUUAUGGGUUCGAGAUGCUACUAAACCAACUUGACUAUCUGAGAUAAUAGUUUCUAAAUUUAGUAAUUGUACAUAUUUAGUAGAUUUCUUAACAUACAUAUAGGGUUUGAGUUAACUGGAAAGGAGACAAGAAAUUG
This 214-nucleotide unclassified non-coding RNA is filed under the name Hevea brasiliensis (rubber tree). The record is from RNAcentral. Lineage: Eukaryota; Viridiplantae; Streptophyta; Magnoliopsida; Malpighiales; Euphorbiaceae.